This 460-nucleotide ribosomal RNA is filed under the name uncultured bacterium. Its description in RNAcentral is "partial 16S ribosomal RNA". It matches the Rfam family "Bacterial small subunit ribosomal RNA", at positions 338 to 795 of the family's 1533-position model. The record is from RNAcentral.
CCUACGGGAGGCAGCAGUGAGGAAUAUUGGUCAAUGGCCGGAAGGCUGAACCAGCCAAGCCGCGUGAGGGAGGAAGGCGCAGAGCGUCGCAGACCUCUUUUGCCGGGGGACAAAAGGCCGGACUCGUCCGGUCCUGAGGGUACCCGGAGAAAAAGCAUCGGCUAACUCCGUGCCAGCAGCCGCGGUAAUACGGAGGAUGCGAGCGUUAUCCGGAUUUACUGGGUGUAAAGGGAGCGCAGGCGGCACGCUAAGCCUGAUGUGAAAACCCGCGGCCCAACCGCGGGAGUGCAUUGGGAACUGGCGAGCUGGAGUACCGGAGGGGCAGGCGGAAUUCCUAGUGUAGCGGUGAAAUGCGUAGAUAUUAGGAGGAACACCAGUGGCGAAGGCGGCCUGCUGGACGGAGACUGACGCUGAGGCUCGAAAGCGUGGGGAGCAAACAGGAUUAGAUACCCCAGUAGUC